Molecule: ribosomal RNA, 253 nt
Filed under: uncultured bacterium
Lineage: Bacteria
Description: partial 16S ribosomal RNA
Rfam family: Bacterial small subunit ribosomal RNA
Source: RNAcentral
UACGUAGGGCGCAAGCGUUAUCCGGAAUUAUUGGGCGUAAAGAGCUCGUAGGCGGUUUGUUGCGUCGGCUGUGAAAUCCCGAGGCUCAACCUCGGGUCUGCAGUCGAUACGAGCAAACUAGAGUGUUGCAGGGGAGACUGGAAUUCCUGGUGUAGCGGUGAAAUGCGCAGAUAUCAGGAGGAACACCGGUGGCGAAGGCGGGUCUCUGGACAGUUCCUGACACUGAGGCACGAAGGCCAGGGGAGCAAACGGG